CCCCACCACCACCAGUAUAAAAUGUCCCGAAAUUUUCAAUGUACAUGAAUUUUGGUAACAUUAAAUCUGUAACUAAUUUGUUUUGUCACUAAAACUUUCAGAAAAGAUAUAUUUUAAUAUUACACUUAUUAAUAAGCGUUUUGUACAUUCAUUCACAAUGGAUGACUUUUUUUUUUGAGACAGAGUCGCCCUGUCGCCCAGGCUGAUUGUAUAACUAACUGCACGUCACUCAUAAAUAAGUAUCUGUGAAUACAAAGAAUGGUAAUUAAUUUUCUCAUUUUGAAUCAGACAUAUGUAACUGCCAGUUACAGAUACUUAAUAGUUUAACAUUUAUUGUGAGUGCCUACUAUAUGCCACGCAUGCUAAAAUAUUUGAUGAUAAAAGGACAAAUAACAGAAGGUCAGGGUUCAUGCCUUUUUCUUUUUUUCCUGAAAUGUUAACACUUAUUUAUUCUCUG
Molecule: long non-coding RNA, 457 nt
Organism: Homo sapiens (human)
Lineage: Eukaryota; Metazoa; Chordata; Mammalia; Primates; Hominidae
Source: Ensembl